GCACCUCCAUGGCACCUCCCUUGGGACCUUUUCAUACGCCUUCUCCAAGUCGAUAAGCACCAUGUGCAGGUCCUCAUCGUACAUGUCCUUGAUUACUCUGAUGUAGGCUUCCGGCACGCUCUUAGCCUCCAGGCACCUCCAUAGCACCUCUCUAGGGACCUUAUCAUAUGCCUUCUCCAAGUCGAUAAACACCAUGUGCAGGUCCUUCUUCUUAUCCCUG
This 220-nucleotide long non-coding RNA is filed under the name Nicotiana benthamiana. RNAcentral's name for it is "long non-coding RNA (NBEN_LNC023009)". Lineage: Eukaryota; Viridiplantae; Streptophyta; Magnoliopsida; Solanales; Solanaceae. The record is from RNAcentral.